RNAcentral lists this ribosomal RNA (940 nucleotides) under uncultured Neocallimastigales. Its description in RNAcentral is "partial large subunit ribosomal RNA". The stretch from base 157 to 940 matches the Rfam family "Eukaryotic large subunit ribosomal RNA", at positions 1 to 637 of the family's 3401-position model. The record is from RNAcentral. Lineage: Eukaryota; Fungi; Neocallimastigomycota; Neocallimastigomycetes; Neocallimastigales.
UACACGCUGUGACUAGCAUAUCAAUAAGCGGAGGAAAAGUCAAUACCUACGCUUAGGAUGUUGACAGCAGUAUAGACUGUACACGCUGUGACUAGCAUAUCAAUAAGCGGAGGAAAAGAGGGCUAUUACCUACGCUUAGGAUGUUGACGAGACUGUCGAUCUCAUCUAUACAUGACUCUGUGCAUAUCAAUAAGCGGAGGAAAAGAAACUAACAAGGAUUCCCCUAGUAACGGCGAGUGAAGCGGGAAGAGCUCAAAUUUGAAAUCUUAAAGGGUUUCCCUUUACGAAUUGUAGUUUAAAGAAGUGUUUUCUGUUGAGGUUUUGGUAAAAGUUCUUUGGAAUAGGACAUCAUAGAGGGUGAGAAUCCCGUAUUUGACCUUUACUUUCAACUUUGUGAUACACUUUCAAAGAGUCGGAUUGUUUGGGAAUGCAGUCCAAAAUGGGUGGUAAAUUUCAUCUAAAGCUAAAUAUUGGCGAGAGACCGAUAGCGAACAAGUACCGUGAGGGAAAGAUGAAAAGAACUUUGAAAAGAGAGUUAAACAGUACGUGAAAUUGUCAAAAGGGAAGCGUUUGACACCAGUGUUGUUUUUCUGAAAAUCAAUUAAAGAACUGUUUAUGCUAAGUUGUUUAGACUUUAUCAGCUAACUGUUUAGUUUUGAGCUUUUCUUUAAUGCGCUUUUCAGUUAACAAGUCAACAUCAAUUUCUUUUGCUGUAAAAAAGCUUGAGGAAGGUGGCUUGAGAUUCGUCUUAAGUGUUUAUAGCCUCUAGCCUAUGCAGUCGGAGAGAUUGAGGUCUGCAGCGUAGGAUCCUUCGGGGCUAAAUGCAUUUGUGCUAAGUUAUAGCAUUUUAUAGACAACUUGUUGACUAUGAUUUGUCUUGUAGCUUACUCGCUUAUGUUAUUUUACCUACGCUUAGGAUGUUGACAGCAGUAUAGACUGU